This 376-nucleotide ribosomal RNA is filed under the name uncultured bacterium. RNAcentral describes it as "bacterial SSU rRNA". It matches the Rfam family "Bacterial small subunit ribosomal RNA", at positions 524 to 898 of the family's 1533-position model. The record is from RNAcentral.
GACGGAGGGUGCAAGCGUUGUUCGGAAUCACUGGGCGUAAAGCGCGUGUAGGCGGUCCGAUUAGUCGAGUGUGAAAGCCCGAGGCUCAACCUCGGAAGCGCAUUCGAAACUGUCGGGCUUGAGUACGGGAGAGGGAAGUGGAAUUCCUGGUGUAGAGGUGAAAUUCGUAGAUAUCAGGAGGAACACCGGUGGCGAAGGCGGCUUCCUGGACCGAUACUGACGCUGAGACGCGAAAGCGUGGGGAGCAAACAGGAUUAGAUACUCUGGUAGUCCACGCCGUAAACUGUGAGCGCUAGGUGUAGCGGGUAUUGACCCCUGCUGUGCCGCAGCUAACGCAUUAAGCGCUCCGCCUGGGGAGUACGGCCGCAAGGUUAAA